CACGAACUGUGCAAACGUUAUUCGGAAUCACUGGGCUUAAAGAGUUCGUAGGCGGCACGUUAAGUCGGGUGUGAAAUCCCUCGGCUCAACCGAGGAAUUGCGUCCGAAACUGGCGUGCUUGAGUGAGAUAGAGGUGAGCGGAACUGAUGGUGGAGCGGUGAAAUGCGUUGAUAUCAUCAGGAACACCGGUGGCGAAGGCGGCUCACUGGGUCUCAACUGACGCUGAGGAACGAAAGCUAGGGGAGCGAACGGGAUUAGAUACCCCGGUAGUCCUAGCCGUAAACGAUGAGCACUAGGUUGAGGGGACCUCCACAUCCCCCCGGCCGUAGCGAAAGUGUUAAGUGCUCCGCCUGGGGAGUAUGGUCGCAAGGCUG
RNAcentral lists this ribosomal RNA (374 nucleotides) under uncultured prokaryote. RNAcentral describes it as "bacterial SSU rRNA". It matches the Rfam family "Bacterial small subunit ribosomal RNA", at positions 524 to 896 of the family's 1533-position model. The record is from RNAcentral.